This 95-nucleotide transfer RNA is filed under the name Hypericibacter adhaerens. RNAcentral's name for it is "tRNA-Ala". The record is from RNAcentral. Lineage: Bacteria; Pseudomonadati; Pseudomonadota; Alphaproteobacteria; Rhodospirillales; Dongiaceae.
CCGGGACCGGUCGGGCGGGGUUCCGCGGGCUGGCACCCCGGGGAGGUUGCUGCUAAAAGUCGGCCCGCGCCGGGUCGCCCUCCAGGGUCCCGGCC